AUGAAAAUAAUGAGUCUGAUGCAACAGAUCAAAACGUUAAACUUAAAAUGUUUAACUCAUUUCUUCAUAUUAUAAGCGCAGCAGGAAAACACCUUUGUUAAAUGCGCACCACACUUGCAAGCGGUUUUAUGUUGACAGGGAUGAAAAUAUCUGUUAAGACAUUUAGAAAGUGGGGAGAUCUAAUAUACAAAAACUAGCAUGGGUUGCUAUAUGACUAGGAUUGUGCCUUUGGCUACUGGACAAUGAAAGAAAGUUUAUAUAAAAUAAUUGCCUCCAUGGAUAUGGUCUGAUUUUGGCUAGGCUACUUUGAAACAAGGACCUGAGCCCUAGGACCAUGCCCCAGGACUACCUGACAUGAUGACUCCUUGCUGUCCCCAGUCCACCUGGCCAUGCUGCUGCUCCAGUUUCAACUGGCCUGGGCCCUAGGACCAUGUCCCAGGACUACCUGACAUGAGGACUCCUUGCUGUCCCCAGUCCACCUGGCCAUGCUCCUGCUCCAGUUUCAACUGUUCUGCCUUACUAUUAUUCAACCAUGCUGGUCAUUUAUGAACAUUUGAACAUCUUGGCCACGUUCUGUUAUAAUCUCCACCCGGCACAGCCAAAAGAGGACUGGCCACCCCACAUAUGCUCUCUCUAAUUCUCUCUUUCUUUCUCUCUCUCGGAGGACCUGAGCCCUAGGACAGUGCCCCAGGACUACCUGACAUGAUGGCUCCUUGCUGUCCCCAUUCCACCUGACUGCUGCUGCUCCAGUUUCAACUGUUCUGCCUUAUUAUUAUUCGACCAUGCUGGUCAUUUAUGAACAUUUGAACAUCUUGGUCAUGUUCUGUUAUAAUCUCUACCCGGCACAGCCAGAAGAGGACUGGCCACCCCACAUAGCCCGGUUCCUCUCUAGGUUUCUUCCUAGGUUUUGGCCUUUCUAGGGAGUUUUUCCUAGCCACCGUGCUUUUACACCUGCAUUGUUUGCUGUUUGGGGUUUUAGGCUGGGUUUCUGUACAGCACUUUGAGAUAUCAGCUGAUGUACGAAGGGCUAUAUAAAUAAAUUUGAUUUGAUUUGAUUUGAUUUAUGUGUAUGGACAUUUUCUGGGAUCAUUUCAUUUUAGCUCAUGAAACAUGGGACCAACACUUUACAUGUUGGGUUUAUAUUUUUGUUCAGUGUAUUUUAUGGAAAAGUGGUGCAUGUUUCUGAACAAUACAAUGCACCAUGCUGCCUUGCUGACAACAUGACCGAGUGGCACAGAAUACUCUUCGAUUUGAGAAGGGCACUCCAGGAGUCGCUCGCUCCUCCCUCACUGCUUUUGGCCGUUAUGCCACAGGCCAUAGACCGGUGCACCGCGGUUCAGUUUAAUCGAACUCACUCAGUAGGUGCAACUCGAUCUCGUUUGCAGCACAUAUGAUACCUGCAUGCAAUGGGUGGUGGCUGCAGAUAACACUGAUCUGGUUUCCCUUAAACAUCCACUAUCAGAGGAAGCUCUACGACUUCUUACAUGCAGGAUAAUGCAGUAGUUUGGGGGUGCAGGGGGAAAAAAAAUGCCUGCACUGAAGAGGUCUAUAUUUGUCUCCUAAUACAGGGCUAGUAAAGGCCCAUUGCACUACUUUUGUUAAUGCAUUUAAACUAAAACGUAUUUGAGUGUUUACCGGCAUUUGUAACUUCAGUCUAAUAAUUAUCUGUACAAAAGUUAAUCUGGUAAUACUUGUGGAAUUAAAAAAUACAUGCUUGA
This is a long non-coding RNA of Oncorhynchus keta (chum salmon), 1718 nucleotides long. RefSeq lists it as uncharacterized. NCBI's taxonomy places the organism in Eukaryota, Metazoa, Chordata, Actinopteri, Salmoniformes, Salmonidae. The record is from RefSeq and is a predicted model, not a curated record. The transcript has 2 exons.